Molecule: long non-coding RNA, 215 nt
Filed under: Nicotiana benthamiana
Lineage: Eukaryota; Viridiplantae; Streptophyta; Magnoliopsida; Solanales; Solanaceae
Description: long non-coding RNA (NBEN_LNC000482)
Source: RNAcentral
ACCUUGAUGGAUAGCUCUAUAAUAAAAUAUCUUAUAUUUUAUUAUUUAAGAACUCAAAUUUAAAUAACAGGGAGUUGUUACAAAAGAACAAUUUUUAAUAAUACGAAGAUCAAAUCUUUUAUAGCAUGUGAAUUUAGUUCAAGUAGACUACGUGCUUAGUCCUAAAUUAAUUUACAUCACAUGUAAUAAAUAAUUCAAAAUUAUAUAAUGAACAA